This 279-nucleotide ribosomal RNA is filed under the name uncultured bacterium. RNAcentral describes it as "partial 16S ribosomal RNA". It matches the Rfam family "Bacterial small subunit ribosomal RNA", at positions 506 to 784 of the family's 1533-position model. The record is from RNAcentral.
UGCCAGCCGCCGCGGUAAUACGGAGGGUGCGAGCGUUGUUCGGAUUUAUUGGGCGUAAAGCGCGUGUAGGCGGUUUUGUAAGUCUGAUGUGAAAGCCCCGGGCUCAACCUGGGAAGUGCAUUGGAAACUGCAAGACUUGAGUACGGGAGAGGGCAGUGGAAUUCCUAGUGUAGGAGUGAAAUCCGUAGAUAUUAGGAGGAACACCGGUGGCGAAGGCGGCUCUCUGGACCGACCCUGACGCUGAGGCGCGAAAGCCAGGGGAGCGAACGGGAUUAGAUA